Molecule: non-coding RNA, 1944 nt
Organism: Microcebus murinus (gray mouse lemur)
Lineage: Eukaryota; Metazoa; Chordata; Mammalia; Primates; Cheirogaleidae
Source: RefSeq, a predicted model, not a curated record
UAGACAGGAGGAUGAAAGGAAGAUAAUAGUGUUUGGUACUGUAGCAAUUUUAUAGUAUCUGUCCCGCUUCAUACCUGAGUAGAUGUCAUCACGCUAAUACAGGAAGUAAGCAGAAGCAGCCCAGUAGCCAUAGUAACAGUGCAGCCAAGAGGAAACACUCUGGAACAGGAGACCAGUCUGGCAAUGGGAUCCAAUUAAAAGUUGGUAAUUGAAUGGAAUUCAAACUCACGACAGUGAGUGAUGAGUCAGACUCCUCAGCAAGCAGAGAAACAGGCCGCCAACAGCUGAAUGCGCUUUUGUGGAUAUUGGAGGAGGGAGGCAGCUCGCAAUGUUUCAGAUGCCUCGAGAAUUUGAGUCAUUCUUGAAAGGACAUAUUAGCUGGGCUUACGAAGCAAUCUUGAAGACAGCCCAAUAUUAAGGAGAACGAAGUGCAAUGCCCUGCAUGACAAUGAUGCACCAUGGAAGGAAGAACUGCAGAAUUUAUAGGAGGCAGAGAGAAAGAACCAAACUGCCAUGAACCAUUUCUGCAUUCUUCCUAAGUCAAAGAAGGGAAAGAUAAGGAGUUGGGAAUUCAACUCCUUGGGAGUUAGAAGUUAAGACUGUUUCUCCUCAGCACCUCUGCUGAUCGACUAAGGAGGAGAAUAUUCAAGUGCUUUCUCUGCUGUGUGUGAAGUAAUGCCAGAUGCCAAACUCUGCCUCUUCCAGCUUCCCCGAAUAUAGCACUUACACCUAGCAUUUCCAGAGUGUCACUGACACUGAGUACUUGUGGCCAUGAGUUGGAACAUAUGUAGAAGGCUGUGCAGUGUGUAAAUUCACUCCCUUCCUCUUAGCUCUUUUCCUCAGCCCCUCCUCUCCUGAAGUAGCUCCAGCUUUUCUACUUCUAUGAUGCUACAGAAUUACCCCCGCCUCUAAAGCCUCAGUACUGGCCAAUUUCCAAGUCUGGAGACAGAGACUCAUUCUCUAUCCUAAGCACUUAUCAAAGUAUCUUCCCAAUAAAAACAACUCUCUCUUUCAGAAAAUUCUGGCACCAGCUGUUAAAGCUCUAACUUUUCUCUACUUCUUCACAUGAUUUUGCAGAACUGCUAUGGAUAAAUAAAGAAUAUAAUAACAUGCUAGCACAAUGUCUUGUAUAUAGUAGAUACAAAAUAAAUAGUGGCUACCAUACAAUGUUUAUGUCAACUAGGUUUAGUCCUGAAAAGAUCAUGUCUACGGCAACCUGGGAGACUCAUCACUUCCAAAGGGAAGAUCUUGGACUUGGACUGGCCAAGGUAAUAGCAACAUAAAUCAAAAGCUAAGAAGGUCUCACUCUUCUUUCAAAAAACACAAUAAUCAUGAGACAGAGUUUAUUGACUUGUCACAGCAGUUAUCUCUGUCCCCUUCCAAACCCAUAGUCAUAAUAUAAAGCUAACAGACAACAGCAAAGGCACAAUGCUCUGGAAGUCUUUUUUGAUCACCCCAAUGCACGGAAGAGGGAAAUUCUAAAGUACUGUUUCUACCAAUCCUUAUGGAACACUGUCAUGUAGAAUUUUAGAUUUCCCUCUUCUAUUUAGAUGAAGUUUUGUUUUGGGAAAACACAAAAGUUUUUUCCCAUAUGCAAACCCUUAGCAGGGCAAAAAGCUCUUUCUCCAUCUCAAAACACAAAACAUACACACCCCACUUAAAAGACUGCAGACUACCAUGAUGAUGAGGCUAGUCUUCCUUGGGAAAUUCUCAUGCGUUUGGCCUUGGACAUUCCUGCUGACAAGAUCUGGCCUGGUUGACUGUAUGCUCUGAGGCUCAGCUGGUCACGAUUGCCUUUUGGGCAAUAGCACAAUUGGUCUGGGUAUCUUGCCAGGACUCCCAGACUCUAAGUAGUAAAGUACUUUAGACCUAUGCUAGCCAGUAGUGUGUCUGGACAUUUAAGAAUUAUUUUUUCCCCUAACAUGCCAAGAUGUUAGAAGAGAA